Molecule: ribosomal RNA, 274 nt
Filed under: uncultured bacterium
Lineage: Bacteria
Description: partial 16S ribosomal RNA
Rfam family: Bacterial small subunit ribosomal RNA
Source: RNAcentral
AUACGGAGGGUGCAAGCGUUGUUCGGAAUUACUGGGCGUAAAGCGCGCGUAGGUGGUCUGUUAUGUCAGAUGUGAAAGUCCACGGCUCAACCGUGGAAGUGCAUUUGAAACUGGCAGACUUGAGUACUGGAGAGGGUAGUGGAAUUCCCGGUGUAGAGGUGAAAUUCGUAGAUAUCGGGAGGAAUACCGGUGGCGAAGGCGACUACCUGGCCAGAUACUGACACUGAGGUGCGAAAGCGUGGGGAGCGAACAGGAUUAGAAACCCCGGUAGUCC